This is an RNA transcript of Pygocentrus nattereri (red-bellied piranha), 2837 nucleotides long. It is a transcript of the gene named neuroplastin b, with no coding region annotated. Lineage: Eukaryota; Metazoa; Chordata; Actinopteri; Characiformes; Serrasalmidae. The record is from RefSeq and is a predicted model, not a curated record. The transcript is spliced from 10 exons.
ACACACACACAGACACGCACACACUUGCUCGCACGCACACACACCAAGAUUUUUUUCCUCCUCUGCCAACGCGAUGACGGACUCUGCCCCCCAAACGGCCCUGUGCGCGCUCCCCUGAGCUGCCGGGCCGUCUGCAGCCGUCGCUGCUCCACCGCCUCGCUUGGUUUCUUCCACAUCCAGCCGGGAUUUUUAACUUUUUUAAUUUUUUUUUAUUUUUCCUCCGAUCUGAUCUGCGCCUCGCUCAAUCUUCAGGAGCUCCGUCCCGUCCCGCUCCCCUGCUGCUGGAGUGUGUGUGCGUGCGCGCGCGGGCGCGUGUGUGUGUGUGAGAGAGAGAGUGUGUUUGUGUGUGUGUGUGUGUGUGUGUGUAGCUCAGGACUGCCCCCCCCCUCACCCACCCCCUCUCCACCUCCUUUUCUUGCUCCUUCCACUAUAAACCCCAACAGCCAUGCGUUCCUGUGCAAAGAUGCUGGCCGUCGUCGUUCUCGGAAAUGUCAUGCUGCAGUAUGUCUCCUCUCAGAACGCUGGGUUUGUGAAGUCGCCUAUGUCUGAGACAAAGCUCACGGGAGACACCUUUGAGCUGUACUGCGACGUGGUCGGUAACCCCACACCGGAGAUCCAGUGGUGGUACGCUGAGGUUAACCGGGCCGACUCCUUCAAGCAGCUGUGGGACGGUGCCCGCAAACGACGGGUGUCAAUCAACACGGCGUACGGCACCAAUGGCGUCAGUGUGCUGGGCAUCACUCGCCUUACGCUGGAGGAUUCCGGGACCUACGAGUGCCGGGCCAGUAACGACCCGCGCCGCAACGACCUGCGUCAAAACCCCGCCCUCACCUGGAUCCGAGCUCAGGCCACCAUUUCCGUGUUGCAGAAGCCAAAGAUCAAUGCCUCUGAUCAGGAGAUUUUACCACCUAAAAAGCCACAGGAAGACAACCCUCCCAUCACCCUACAGUGUAACCUUACCAACUCUCCUAAUACCCACCGGGAAAGCUUCUGGAUGAAGAAUGGAGAAGAGAUCCCAAAUACAAGAAAAGGAUUGAAAAACACAGAGUUGAUACUGAGUAAACCCAGGGCGGAUGAUGCAGGGGAAUACAUGUGCGUUUACACCUUCGACAUGGCCCCCAAUGCCAAUGCCUCCAUCGAAGUCAAAGCGGCUCCUGAAAUCACUGGUCACAAACGAAGCGAGAAUAAAAAGGAAGGAGAGAACGCGCUCCUGUACUGCAAAUCUGUGGGAUACCCACAUCCCAUCUGGACAUGGCGGAAAAAAGUCAGCCAGGGAUCAUACAUAGAUGUCGACAACAGUACUGGACGCUUCUUCAUCACCAACAAAGACAAUUAUUCAGAACUGAAUAUUAUAAAUCUUGACAUCAGCACAGACCCUGGCGAGUAUAUCUGCAAUGCAACAAACAUUAUUGGAUAUAAAGAAUCAAUGUCAAUCCUACGGGUGCGCAGUCACUUGGCCCCACUUUGGCCAUUUCUGGGUGUGCUGGCCGAAAUCAUCAUCCUGGUGGUCAUCAUUGUGGUUUAUGAGAAACGCAAGAGGCCAGACGAGGUGCCAGACGGUCAACACCUCCAUGUGGUGCGACGCAGGCUUUAAUAAACUGGGGUAAAAUUGCUUUUGCUUUUUUCCCCCCUCCUCCAAAUGGCACCGUAUUCUUUAUUGGUGAUGAUGAACCAGCUGGACCAGUGAAAACAAAUUCGACUAACAACCACAAAGAUAAAAACCUGAGACAGCGGAACACCAACUGAGCAAAUAAACUUAGAAAAAAGGACUAACUGCACAUCUUGACCGUAUGAAGGUAUCCAAGGGGAGAAGACCUCCUGGCCAUUUCUAAUAAAGCAUAUCCUGCCUCACUUGGUGAACGAAACAGCAGCAUAACACUGGCAGAAAAGAACAAUAAGGACUGUCUUAAGCAUGCCUUAUUCAGUCUUAUGGUAUGUGAGUAUGUGUGGGCACAGGUGACUAAAUUCAUUCAAAUGGUGUACACAUCAUUUUUACUCUGUGCUGUUAACUUUCUCUCUUUUUUUUUUCUUCAUGUCAUCCUAAUGAGGUUAUCCUUUUUCAUACUUACAUAUCGUGUCGAAUGCAUGCAGUAACAUAACCUAAUAACAGUUAAUUUUUUUCUAUCGUUAUUUAUUUGUGUGGUGUUGCAUCAAAAAAGGAUUACCCUACGUGCAUUUUUUUAAGAAAUUCAAUCGGAGGAAAAAAAAAUACGUUCACCUGAGUUCUUUGUACAGUUUAUCAUCAAUUCAUGAAAUUUAAACAAAGGUGUUCUAUCUAAAGCUGGACUGCAAGAGCCUAGCUGUGACAGGCAGAGCAGUAUUUAAUCACAGAGAACUGUCUAUGUAUUAAAUAAUUUAAAAAGAUGGAUAAAUGUUAUUUAUUUUCUAGAGUUACCUAGAUGUCUUGUACAGGUUGCGCUGUAAGUGUUCAAAUAUUAUAAUAGCAUAUCUGUAAAAAGCAAAGAAUAUAUCUUUUCUUUAAAUUCUCUAUGUCCUCCAACAAAUGUUUCUUUUUAGUCAGAUAUGAUUCUUGUACAGCAUGGCUAUUAUCCUAUGCAAUAUGUAUUCAUAUAGAUCUAUUGAGAAUUGUAAGGUGGGGAGCGUUUGUUUUGAUGAAUUUCACAGACUAAGCUUUAAUGUUGUGGGAUCAUCAGGAUGCAGGAAUAGAAUAAAUGCACUGCUGUAGUUGCAUGACUACUCCUCCUUAAGAAAAUGGUGUAUCAGUGUGUUGCAGUGCAACUGGACCAAUAUAUAAAAGGUGGCACUUGCUGGAGCUAAAGCCAUUACAAUAAUAUGUGAGACCAACUGUUCUUUUUAAAAUAAAGGCUCCAAAAUUA